CUGGGAGCCAUUCACACACCUGGGCCACGCCCACCGCACAUCUGGGCCACGCCCAGCGCACACCUGGGAGCCAUUCACACACCUGGGCCAUGCCCAGUGCACACCUGAGAUUUAUUAUUCACACCUGGGCCACGCCCACUGCACACCUGGGAGAUAUUUACACACCUGGCCACGCCCACUGCACACCUGGCAUUCACACACCUGGCCACGCCCACGUCACACACAGGCCACGCCCACUGCAUACCUGAGAUUCAUUUUCACACCUGAGCCACGCCCACUUCACACCAGGGAAUCAUUCACACACCUGGGCCACACCCACCAUGCACCUGUGACUCAUUUGCACACCUGGGCCACGCCCACUACACACGUGAGGUUCAUUUUUCACACCUGGGCACACACCUGGGCACACCUGGGCCCCCAAAAACCGCUCCAGGUGUACGCACGUCCAUCCAGGUGUGCCCAGGUGUGCCCAGGUGAGCUCAGCUGUAUCUCAGGUGUGUCCAUGUCCAUCCAGGUGUGCCCAGGUGUAUCUCAGGUGUGUCCAGGUGUAUCUCAGGUGUGUCCGUUGUCCAUCGAUGUGUGCAUGUCCAUCCAGAUGUAUCUGAGGUGUCUCCAGGUGUGCCCAGGUGUAUCUCAGGUGUCUCCAGGUGUGCCCAGGUGUAUCUCAGGUGUAUCCAUUGUCCAUCCAGGUGUCUCCAGGUGUAUCUCAGGUAUAUCCAGGUGUGUCCAUGUCCAUCCAGGUGUAUCUCAGGCAUGCCCAGGUGUAUCUCAGGUGUCUCCAGGUGUGCCCAGGUGUAUCUCAGGUGUGUCUAUUGUCCAUCCAGGUGU
Long non-coding RNA from Pyrgilauda ruficollis (rufous-necked snowfinch), 828 nucleotides. RefSeq lists it as uncharacterized. Lineage: Eukaryota; Metazoa; Chordata; Aves; Passeriformes; Passeridae. The record is from RefSeq and is a predicted model, not a curated record. The transcript is spliced from 3 exons.